Molecule: long non-coding RNA, 429 nt
Filed under: Octopus sinensis (East Asian common octopus)
Lineage: Eukaryota; Metazoa; Mollusca; Cephalopoda; Octopoda; Octopodidae
Description: uncharacterized LOC118763588, transcript variant X2
Source: RNAcentral
AAACAGUCACAGAAGUUUGGUGUAGGCUCCUGCCUGGCCUUCUCUUGUGAAACUGUCCCACCCAUGCUAGCGUAGAAGGUGGAUGUUAAAUGAUGAUGACGAUGAUGUAUGUGUUUCUCCCCCACCACUGUAGUUAUAAGAUUUGGGGGAUAAUUGGUUACUGUUUCUAGCAGAUCCAAUGACCAUGUUGAGGCUUCUUUGUUGGCAUGAUUCUGUCCUUGUCAUAUAUGUAGAAGAUUUGAUGCCGUUUAUGAAUGUCUUUUGAGUUAGAUUCUUCCUGAUUACUUACAGACUGUAAUAUGCUUGUGUGUGUGUGUUCAAAAAUUCUCCAUUCUUAAAACAAGAAUAAGAAGUAAGACAAAGAAAGGAAUAUGAAUGUAAAGUGUGAGAUAGAUAGAUAGAGAGAGAGAUAAAUAGAGAGAGAGAGAG